This 224-nucleotide ribosomal RNA is filed under the name uncultured bacterium. Its description in RNAcentral is "partial 16S ribosomal RNA". It matches the Rfam family "Bacterial small subunit ribosomal RNA", at positions 111 to 334 of the family's 1533-position model. The record is from RNAcentral.
UAACGCGUGGGUAACCGUGCCUCAUACAGGGGGAUAACAGUUAGAAAUGACUGCUAAUACCGCAUAAGCGCACAGUGCUGCAUGGCACAGUGUGAAAAACUCCGGUGGUAUGAGAUGGACCCGCGUCUGAUUAGCUAGUUGGUGGGGUAACGGCCUGCCAAGGCGACGAUCAGUAGCCGGCCUGAGAGGGUGAACGGCCACAUUGGGACUGAGACACGGCCCAA